This 819-nucleotide ribosomal RNA is filed under the name uncultured eukaryote. RNAcentral's name for it is "SSU rRNA". It matches the Rfam family "Eukaryotic small subunit ribosomal RNA", at positions 629 to 1426 of the family's 1831-position model. The record is from RNAcentral.
CGGUGUUUAACUGGCGUGAUGUGGGACGUCCUACCGGUGGGCUUAGCCUCGCGAGGGGCGGCCCAACUAAUAUCCCGUCGCGGUGCUCUUUACUGAGUGUCGAGUCGGGCCGGUACGUUUACUUUGAACAAAUUAGAGUGCUUAAAGCAGGCUAUCCUCGCCUGAAUACUGCGUGCAUGGAAUAAUGGAAUAGGACCUCGGUUCUAUUUUGUUGGUUUUCGGAACCCCGAGGUAAUGAUUAAUAGAGACAGAUGGGGGCAUUCGUAUUGCGACGUUAGAGGUGAAAUUCUUGGAUCGUCGCAAGACGGACAGAAGCGAAAGCAUUUGCCAAAAAUGUUUUCAUUAAUCAAGAACGAAAGUUAGAGGUUCGAAGGCGAUCAGAUACCGCCCUAGUUCUAACCAUAAACGAUGCCAGCUAGCGAUCCGCCGAAGUUCCUCCGAUGACUCGGCGGGCAGCUUCCGGGAAACCAAAGCUUUUGGGUUCCGGGGGAAGUAUGGUUGCAAAGCUGAAACUUAAAGGAAUUGACGGAAGGGCACCACCAGGAGUGGAGCCUGCGGCUUAAUUUGACUCAACACGGGAAACCUCACCAGGCCCAGACACCGGAAGGAUUGACAGAUUGAUAGCUCUUUCUUGAUUCGGUGGGUGGUGGUGCAUGGCCGUUCUUAGUUGGUGGAGCGAUUUGUCUGGUUAAUUCCGAUAACGAACGAGACUCUAGCCUGCUAAAUAGGCGUACCUUAUGGUAUCGCGAAGGCCCCCGGCUUCGGCCGGUGGGUUUUUACUACCAACGUACAAACAAAUCUUCUUAGAGGGACAGGCGG